GACGCGGUGGCCGAGUGGUUAGGCAGGGACCCAGCAAGUUCCCCCACGCCGGUUCGAAUCCGGUCCGCGUCU
Molecule: transfer RNA, 72 nt
Filed under: Alphaproteobacteria bacterium
Lineage: Bacteria; Pseudomonadati; Pseudomonadota; Alphaproteobacteria
Description: tRNA-Ala
Rfam family: tRNA
About the family: Transfer RNA (tRNA) molecules are approximately 80 nucleotides in length.
Source: RNAcentral